RNAcentral lists this microRNA precursor (118 nucleotides) under Podarcis lilfordi (Lilford's wall lizard). Lineage: Eukaryota; Metazoa; Chordata; Lepidosauria; Squamata; Lacertidae. The record is from RNAcentral.
AUUAUACUUAGUUAGUUAUUGGUAUGAGCUUUUGUGUGCAUGCACACUUCUUCAGAUACACCUAUUUGAAGAAGUAUGCAUGCACACGAAAGCUAAUACUAAUAACUAACUUAGCUGG